CAAAAGGUUUUUAAAUGGAAAAAAAAACCACACACACAUAAUAAAAAGUAAAGU
Non-coding RNA from Homo sapiens (human), 54 nucleotides. The record is from Rfam. Lineage: Eukaryota; Metazoa; Chordata; Mammalia; Primates; Hominidae.